AUCAGGAUCAGUAGCCGAGAAACAAAAACCUGACACUGAUCAACAGAAGAGCAGCCAACCUGACAAGCCUGAUGGUCUGACAGUUUACUCCAUUAAAGAAGUCACGUUAUUUCCUGACCAGACAAAUACGUGGGUGUCAAAGGAACAGUUACAAAG
This is a long non-coding RNA of Perca fluviatilis (European perch), 156 nucleotides long. RefSeq lists it as uncharacterized. The record is from RefSeq and is a predicted model, not a curated record. The transcript has 3 exons. Lineage: Eukaryota; Metazoa; Chordata; Actinopteri; Perciformes; Percidae.